GAUCAAUCAAAAUAGCUCAAUUGAUAGAGCAUGAGACUCAAUCUCAGGGUUGUGGGUUUAAGCCCCAUGUUGAGCA
Non-coding RNA from Podarcis lilfordi (Lilford's wall lizard), 76 nucleotides. The record is from the annotation of a GenBank genome assembly. NCBI's taxonomy places the organism in Eukaryota, Metazoa, Chordata, Lepidosauria, Squamata, Lacertidae.